Molecule: long non-coding RNA, 3905 nt
Organism: Quercus lobata
Lineage: Eukaryota; Viridiplantae; Streptophyta; Magnoliopsida; Fagales; Fagaceae
Exons: 3
Source: RefSeq, a predicted model, not a curated record
UGAUCAUAACAGAGCACCAUUCCUUUGACACAGACUUGCAUCGCGUUGCGGAUUUCAGAUCCAGCGGAUGCAAUAUUUCUAACACUAGAUCUAUUGGGAGAUCAUCAAUAGCCGUGGCCGUCCUUGUCCUCGUCCUCAUCCUCUUUCUUCGCUUGUGGACAUCCGAAUUCUCGUAGUAUGAGAUUACACUACUACUACUCCUUCUAUGAUGUUUUUUUACUUUUCUCAUCUCCAUCAUUAAAUCAAUCGGAGGAUAGGAUAGGAUUUCUCUCUCUUCUGCCUGCGACUGCUUUACUAAAAUAAAAGAAUUCUAAAGAUUACAAUUUCUUUUAAGAGAUUGUCAUCAGUAAAUAUAGCCAAAGCCACCGACUAAACCACCGACUAUUACCCCCACCAACUAUCAGUAUAACUUUUUUUGGCCCUUUACCUUGCUACUCCAGUGCACUAAUUGGCAAACAAGGAAUGGACAUCUCCUCUUGCCAUUGGAGGAGGAACCUUAUUUUAAAUCUCUGCCUUACAUUCCACCAAUGUAUCAAGAACAACGCCACAAUGAGUUCAAUAUUCAAGCUUCGUGUCAUGACUUGUUCUUAUGCUCUGAAUCUGCAGUUGUUAGUGAUCAUAAUACUCCCUUUUUUUACUAUGUCAUUAAUCCAAUUACUAGGCAAUGGACUGCCCUUCCUCCACUUCCAGAUCAAUACACCGCAUCAGUAGUAAGGCGUCGGCCUCGGAUUGGGUUCUUAUGUAACUCCUGUGACAUUCUUCUUCAUCAUCAUCAUCAGCAGCUUCAACUUAGUUUUAGAGUGAUGCUCAUUCCUGAAUUUGAGGGCAUGCCAACGGAAUUCAAGGUGUACAUAUUCUCAUCCGACACAAGUAAAUGGAGUGAGUCUCUGGUGUCGUGCCCGGCCCCUGAAGGAUUUGAAUUGGCUUCUUUUGCCUUCCCCACUGUUCCUUAUAAUGGCUUGCUAUUUUGGUGUAGUAGGGAUGGCUCCCUUGUUGGCUUCUUAAAUAGUUGAAUAAUUCUUUAAAUCAUAUUCUGGUUUUGUCAGCUCACAAUUGCUGUAUCACAUGAAUUAGCCCAUCUAUGGCUUGGCAAUCUGGUAGCAAUGGAAUGGUGGAGUCAUUUAUGGCUUAAUGAGGGAUUUGCAACAUGGGUAAAAUUGAGUCAUCUCACAUAACUGCUUCCACUUGCUGGCUAUUGCAAUACAUUCAUUUUCUUGUUUGAAUCUGUAUUUGAUCUUAAAUUUCCAGGUAAGUUAUAUGGCCACUGACAGGCAACAGCAUGUUUCCUUAGUGGAAUAUAUGGACUCUAUUUCUUCUAAAAACAAAUGAUGGCCUGCGUAUGGAUGCACUGGAACAAUUGCAUCCUAUUGAGGUCGAGGAACCCCGGGCUUGUUCAAUAGGGGAAUUAUUUGAUUCUAUCAGCUACAAAAAGGGAUCUUCUGUCACUCGAAUGUUGCAGGGUUAUCUUGGUAUGGCACAUUUCAGGAGGGAUGGUUCAUGUUCUUGACUUAUAGUUGGGUUAUUUUUAUAUGGAGCACCAAAUAUUGAUUCUGUUUUUUUAUGGUAAAACCUUCUCAUUUCUUGGAAAAUAUAUACCAAAUUAAUGCUUGGCAUUUCUUAGUUAAUGUCAUUUGUUUUAUAAAGCUUUAAUGGCUCUCUUAUCCAUUAAGCAGGUUUGGCACUUUAUAAUUGUCAAGGCUAUUAUGUAAUUUAUGUUUAUUUCUUAUCAUAUAUGUUAACAAUGCCAUUAUAGUCUUCAAUUAUUCAAUGGACUAAGAAUAUAUAUUGAUACCACAUGGGCUCAAAAAUUUAGAGUGGAUUGGGGUUUGACUCAGUGUGUAGGAUGCUUUUGCCAUGUAACACCUUCUAGGUAUUUUCUUGGGCAGAGACUCUUGCUCCAGUGUCUGUUCUUCUUUUAGAAUCCAUAUCUAUGUGCCGUGUCACUUAUAUUUGUCAAAUUGGAAGCUUUCUUUGAUCACUUAUUCCACUAAUAAUCGUGGUCACUAAUGUGUACAAUGUAUAAUUUCUCAAUGCAGUAGACCUUAAUAUCACUUUUUCAUGGAAAAUAUUCUUGGUAACAAAAAUGCUACCAUGAACAUUUUUCUUUUGUCAACAUGUUCUGCACACAAAUUUAUGAAACUGACUGAAGGGAAAGGUCUGAAUUAUAUUCCUGUAGUAAUUUGCACUUCUUGAACGUGAUCAAAAUUUCGCUGUGUAACAAGUGGAUAGAAAAUUAACUUUGACUAAAUUACAUAUAUAACUCUGUGACUUCUUAUUUGAACCAGAAAUCCUUAAGUUAGCACAUAAAAAGAUAUGCUGGAAAGAAUUCAAGGACAGAUGAUUUAUGGGGCGUCCUUUCAGAGAACUCUGGUGAACUCAAUUCAAUGAUGGAUGCUUGGUAAAAAAAAAAAAAAAAAAAAAGGGAUUUCCAGUUAUCUCUGUAAAAUCCAAAGAUAAUAUUUUGGAAUUUGAACAGGUAUUAUUAUUAAGUAAUAAGCAAACAUGCAUUUCUUAAAGGUUUAGAGGUCAAGUUGUUUAUCUUUAUCAAGAUAGUAUUAUCGUGCUAUUCAUGAUAAGUUCAGAAGGUCGUGAGGUAGCAUGGAGAUGGUUGAAGGUAUGCAGCUCCUGCUCAACAUCUAAUUGGUAGCAUGUCUAAUUGUGUAUAUAAUCUGGAAAAUAUUAUGAUUGGGAGUUGAGAAGCAACUAUUUACUUUAAAUUUAUAAUUGUAUAUAUGGUUGGAAAAUAUAUGAAUACCUAUCUCUCCAAAUUAAUAUCUUCAUAUUUAUAAUGUUUUGCGGCCUUCUCGGCAUUAUGUUCAAAUUACUGUCAUAUAUGUACUAGGUUUAGUUAUAUAGUGAAGUAGGCUUCUUCAUAAACUUGAAUAUCUUUUUUUUUUUUUUUUUUUCCUUUGUGCGGAAAAUUGGGUUGGGAACCAAUAGCUGGAGAGACUCAUUUAAAUGCACUGUUGAGAAUGAUAGAAAUACUUAUCUCCAGUCCAUGGACACUAGAAAGGUAAAAGUUUUGCCUGUACUUUUAAAUCACUUCCUUAUCAGUAGGGGCAUUUUCGAGUUCUAUAUUCAACAGUGGUGUAUGCUCUGCAGGCUGCUUUCAUUGUUGUAAUGUUAAAUGCUAGUACGACAAAUAGGAAUGGAUUUGAGUCCUUACUGAAGCUCAAUAGAGAAGCAGAUAUUGUUAAGAUUUAGUAACAUUGGAAAUAGUAUCCUGUCACUUUUUGGGUGAAAGCUACUUAAAUUUAAUGUCAUUCUUUCAUCCUUGUAAAGGUUUUUUUGCAUCUUGUCCAAACCCAAAUAUAUUGCUCAUGGUUUUAAAUUUUAUGUUGUUUGAUGAGGUAUUGGUUGUGCCAAUUAAAUCACGGUUUUUAAUGGCCUCAUCUUUCUUGCGGAUCUAAUUGUUAUUCAUAUAAAUAUCCUUUCAGGUUCAAGAUCAAUAUAUUAUUUACGUGCUUUUCUUGACAAGUUGAGAAGGCCGUGAGGUAGCAUGGAGAUGCUUGAAGUUCUGCAGUAAUGAAAAGGCCGAUGAGAUAGAAGCAUUUUUUUGCCAGCCGUAUGCAUCCUUCAUUUACCAUGAGUUUGAAGCAAAGUACCGAGCAAAUCCGACUCAAAGCGAGGUGGGUUGACAACAAAAGGCAAGAGCAAUCUCUAUACGACCUAGUCAAACAAUUAGCUCUCAAGAAAUGCUAGUGUUCCCUUUGCUUCCAAAACUAUAUUGUGAAUGUAAUUAUGUUAAGAAUAAUAAACCAUGAACAGGUUGCUACCUAGCAUCAUUACUUCUCCGUUGUGACGUAUCUCACAUGCUAACUAUGACCAAUUCCAUUACUGCUUUCUCUAUUAUGCCAAACCUAACACACAAAAAUACUGCUGAAGUCCAAACAGAAAUACGUGGU